This is a non-coding RNA of Macaca mulatta (Rhesus monkey), 262 nucleotides long. The record is from RefSeq and is a predicted model, not a curated record. Lineage: Eukaryota; Metazoa; Chordata; Mammalia; Primates; Cercopithecidae.
CACCAACUUCCACAGACUCCAGUCUGUCUCUCCUGCUCCAGGUCACUUAGAAGCUUGUGGCGCAUCCCUCGGUACCUCUCUCUGCCUGCGCACCGUAAGCUCCCAGACUGCAGGGCCAUACCUGUCCCCUCCUGGUCUCCCCAGCACCCUGCAGACUAGUGGCCCUUCAGACACCUUGCACCCCAGUGGAGGGUGCGGAGGAUCCUCUGCAAAGAUACCAGGCACCGGGAACACUGCUGUAAUAAAUCUUUGUGUAAUUUUA